This is an RNA transcript of Lotus japonicus, 2326 nucleotides long. It is a transcript of the gene named F-box protein At4g02733, with no coding region annotated. The transcript is spliced from 13 exons. NCBI's taxonomy places the organism in Eukaryota, Viridiplantae, Streptophyta, Magnoliopsida, Fabales, Fabaceae. The record is from RefSeq and is a predicted model, not a curated record.
GGGCGCGUAGCCUAAAGGGUGGGGUGCCAAACCCAAAUCCCGAAUCAAGUGAGUGUGCAAAAAUGGGAAUCUCUAUCGCAAUCUCAUGCUUGAUAUAGCCACCGUGCUCCACCACCACCUCCUCCUCCUCCUCGCCGUCACCACCGCCACCAGCAAUGGCGAAGCGACAGUGUCCGUCAGAAAACCCUAGACCGGAGCAGGUGGAGAAUCUUCUCAACGCGUUCCUCUCCCUCUCGGAUUUACCGUCUCUCUCCCUCGAUCUCUCCUUCGAGAAUCUUCUCCAAUCAAUGCCCGCUCCUCACGACUCAUCCGAUCUCAUCGAUCGCGCUCUCAAGAUGGGCUCGCUCCUCCUCCACGUCGCCAACCACUCCUCCCGCAAACGCGCUUCCCACCAUAAUUCACUCUCCUGGCCCCUCUCUCACGACCUCACCAUCAAGGUCUUCUCGAUGCUUGAUACCCAGAGCCUGUGCUAUGCAUCAGCUUCUUGUUCAUUCUUUAGCAAGUGUGCCAAAGAUCCUAUGUGCUAUGCAAAUCUUGAUUUGACUACACCUGUUCCCAAGGUUAACAAUGCAGUGGUUGCAACGAUGAUUCAGCGAGCUGGAAAGGCACUGAGGUCUCUUAAGCUUGGUGUUGUCCCUGGUGCCACUACUUCACCUGGAUGUUGUCAACCAUUGAUUUGUGCCGUUAGGAAUGCUAUUGUAGACGUUUCUAACAUUUCAUGGAUUGAUAAGAGAUCUCGUCAAGGGAGAGACCCAUCAUCCAUUCUUACAAGAUGCUGUUUAAGCCCUUUAAGUGGGGACGGUGGUGCUCCGGGGGCUCUUUUGAGAAAGUUGCACCUGUACAAUAUUGAGAGAAUGGAUAAUGCAUCCCUUGGUGGGGCAUUGUUAGCAUGCCCUUCUCUCCUUGAUCUGGAAAUUGUUGGGCUCCAUGUUGAACUGAGGCAAACAUUAAUGUCAGUAAGUGCAAACUGCCACUUGAUCGAGCGUUUGUGUUUUGAGUCUUCUAAAGCAGGUAGAGAUGAUAGCUUGAAAGCGCAAACGUGUUCUGAGCUGGUAAACAAUUGUCCUCAUCUAGCUUCUUUAUCUCUUCGAGGGUUUAAGCUACAUGAUUGUAAAGUUCGCAUACUGGUUAAGGGAUUUCGGAAACUGAAAUAUGUUGACUUUUCAACAUCCUAUUCAAUCACGGGAAAUUUCUUAAGAAACCUUGGAAGCUGCAAUGGUGGGAACUUGCUUGAGGUCUUAAUUUUAAGGGAUUGCAUGCAUCUCAAAGAGACGGAAGCUACCAGGUUGUUGACAGCGAUUCUUGCAGGAGAUUUCAAAUUGCUUGUACAUCUGGACAUAUCCAAUAGGGAAGGCUUAGCAUCUGAGGUUGACUGGUAUCGGAGGUGCUACAACCCUAGUACUAUGCCUAUAAAGCAGGUUUUGGAAGCAAGGCCUGAUAUGCAUUUGGUGGCUGAAUAUCCAUCAGAAGGAAGUUACAUGGAAUUUGAUGCUGAUGAUAGUGAUCCAAGUGUGCCAUUACACUCUAGCAGCCACACAUCAGAUGGAUCAAGUUUUAUGAGUACAUCUGAAGGCAGCUAUAAUAGUGAUCAGGGUAGUGGCAAUGAGGAUGCUCCAGAUGCCAACUAUGUGGUUUAUGAGGAAAGCUCUGAUGAGAUUGACUUUCUGGCCGUGUAGCGAAAUCCUCAUUGUAUGGCACUAAUUGAAAAUGGACAACAAUCUAGUGAACCUGGGUCCCUGUGAGGAACAGAAAUAUGAGAAAUAUAUACCCCAUAGCAGGGAUCAGGGACAUGGACUUGGGCGGGAUGCAGGAGUGGGAAGUGGGAAGGCACGAGCACCCCACCCCUACCCGCAUUCGUGCCAUCCUUGGUGUUGCUUGCAUUCCUCUUGGAAAUUAGAGAUAAUACUUUUUGCUAUGUCAAAAUGGAAUGGCACAAUUUGAUGCUUUGAAGUUGCCAAAAGCUUGUCUUCUGAAUUUCAAUAUUUUUGAUAGCCCUAUUUCGAGUAUGUUUGGUUUUCCAUCCACUGGCACAUUCAAUCACAAUUUUUUUUUCUUGAAAUGCCAAAUUGCUAAUUUUAACAUUCACGAUUUCACGUUCUUGUGUCUCCUGAUUCAUCAACCGGGGAAGGAGGAUGUGCGGCAGCGGCAGGAUGGAUGUCAGCUGUGGACCAGAUUUUUUCAACUUUCAUUUUGUCUUGUAUUGAAGUUCAUCACUGUGGAGCUUUGAAUGUGGAGGUCUAUUUGAGAUUGGCAGCAAUUUUGUUAAUGUCCUUUGUUUCCAUUUUGUUAGCGUAAUUUUUCGGGGGGGAGGGGGUGGGUGCAGGUU